UGAGGAAUAUUGGUCAAUGGACGGAAGUCUGAACCAGCCAUGCCGCGUGGAGGAAGAAGGUCCUAUGGGUUGUAAACUCCUUUUGCUCCAGAGUAAUAAGGCCCCUGCGGGGGUCGAUGAGAGUAUGGGGCGAAUAAGCAUCGGCUAACUCCGUGCCAGCAGCCGCGGUAAUACGGAGGAUGCAAGCGUUAUCCGGAUUUAUUGGGUUUAAAGGGUGCGCAGGCGGACUGUUAAGUCAGCGGUGAAAUCUCAUGGCUCAACCAUGGAACUGCCGUUGAUACUGGCAGACUAGAGUACGGACGGCGCCGGCGGAAUGUGUCAUGUAGCGGUGAAAUGCUUAGAUAUGCCACAGAACACCGAUCGCGAAGGCAGCUGGCGAGGCCGGGACUGACGCUCAGGCACGAAAGCGUGGGGAUCAAACAGG
Molecule: ribosomal RNA, 424 nt
Filed under: uncultured prokaryote
Also listed under: 1 other name
Description: bacterial SSU rRNA
Rfam family: Bacterial small subunit ribosomal RNA
Source: RNAcentral